CUAAGAGUAGAUGUGGGUUUAUUCUAAUGUAUCUUGGUUCCUUCCAUCUCUAGUGAUAACAGUCUUUCUCUUCUUUCUGGUACAGAAGAGGAAUGGAAAUUUUAUUUAUAAGUGAAAAUUGCCUUUAUUAAAGAGAAAUUUAUUUCUUGCUUCUUGUCAGAGGGAGGGCAGACAACUCCUCCUGUGUCUGCUAUUUCUCAAUUGUCUUUAGCUCAAAAUAAUCUUUAUACAAAAAUAUCAUAUCUGGGGGUGGCAUCUUCUGAUCUCCUUCAGAUGUGUAAGUGUGAGGAUGGCCUUAGGCCUGAGCCUAAUCAACUCCAUUUUAAAAACUCCAGUUUGAAACCUGCAGUCUCACCAGGCACACCCACAGACCCCUCCAGUAUGGCCUCAAACAAGUUACUUCCCCUCACCCUGAUACACAGAGUGAAGCCACUGGCAGAUUGUCCUUGCCUGAUAAGAGGAAAAGGCUAGAAGAUCAGGGUAGAGACCAUCGGACCAGAUGUUUCGGACCCCAAGGUAAAUGAUGUCACUGAGAAAUCUGAUGGUAGCUGAUAAGGAUUGAAAGGGGCGUCAAAAGCCCCCAACAUUUAGUAUAAAUAAUAGAGCUGAUGAACAGGGAUUCAGCCAGCGGAAACAAGGAUGUACUCAAGCUGGAGAGCCUAAUGCGGACCUUACAUCCCAUCACUUGUCAUCGUUCCUGAUCCUCUGUGUGAUCCUCACUUCUCUCAAACUCUACCGCCUCAUCUGAACCUUGGUGAGAGCCACAGCUUCUCCCUACGACCCUCUCCUCAACUGGUCAUCCACUCCACACCAGGCAAAGCCUGCCUUGGUUCCAGACCUGAUCACCAUAGUCUCAGUGAGUGUGCAUCUGCUGGACAUAAAACCUAAGGUUUAAGACUUUUGAACUUAGCAUGCAGAGGAAAUGUCUGUCAUUAGCCUAUCACGAUUAAGUGUGUUUUCAGUGCUUAGAAUUAAUCUAUAAUUGUUUGCUGUGAAUUAAUUAGUCUAGAAUUAUUUGCUAUGAAUUGAGUAUGUCUAUUGCAGUGCCUAGCAUUAAGGAUUGUUGUUUUCUUGAUUAAGAACCUAUAGAGUGAAAAUGUAUUGAGUAACUUGAGUGAAUAAAGCAUUGAAAGG
RNAcentral lists this long non-coding RNA (1134 nucleotides) under Marmota monax (woodchuck). Lineage: Eukaryota; Metazoa; Chordata; Mammalia; Rodentia; Sciuridae. The record is from RNAcentral.